CAGAGCCUAGCAGAGAGGGAAAUUCCAGCCAACACAGAUGAGGAACUGAGGCCAACAGGGUUAAGUGACUGGCCCAGAGUCAUACAGGGUUCUUGCCCUUUCUCUCUUCCUCAUACAUGGCAAUCUGGUGGUUUGGGCCUCCUUAUUGUUUCUUGCACAAGACAUCCAUCUCCUGACUUCAAGCAUUUUCUCGGAUUUUCUCUCCUGCCUGGACUACUCUUCUUCAUCUCUGUCUCCUGGCUUCCCUGUCUUCCUUCAGAUCAAAACUAAAAAUUUCCUGGCCUCCCCUUAAUACCUGCAAUGCCUUUUCUCUAAGAUUGUCUCCAAUUUGUCCUG
This 336-nucleotide long non-coding RNA is filed under the name Monodelphis domestica (gray short-tailed opossum). RNAcentral's name for it is "lncRNA (ENSMODG00000042856.1)". The record is from RNAcentral. Lineage: Eukaryota; Metazoa; Chordata; Mammalia; Didelphimorphia; Didelphidae.